GCAGUGAUGGUUCAGAGGUACAAUUCUCGCCUUCUAUGUGGGAGACCGAGGUUCAAUUCCCAGCCAAUGUA
Molecule: transfer RNA, 71 nt
Filed under: Loxodonta africana (African savanna elephant)
Lineage: Eukaryota; Metazoa; Chordata; Mammalia; Proboscidea; Elephantidae
Rfam family: tRNA
About the family: Transfer RNA (tRNA) molecules are approximately 80 nucleotides in length. Their secondary structure includes four short double-helical elements and three loops (D, anti-codon, and T loops). Further hydrogen bonds mediate the characteristic L-shaped molecular structure. tRNAs have two regions of fundamental functional importance: the anti-codon, which is responsible for specific mRNA codon recognition, and the 3' end, to which the tRNAs corresponding amino acid is attached (by aminoacyl-tRNA synthetases). tRNAs cope with the degeneracy of the genetic code in two manners: having more than one tRNA (with a specific anti-codon) for a particular amino acid; and 'wobble' base-pairing, i.e. permitting non-standard base-pairing at the 3rd anti-codon position.
Source: Rfam by way of RNAcentral